AAUCAAAUUGUCAAUUGGACUGUGUAAACUUAUGUCAACGAUGUUGAUCAAUGAGGUGAAAUUUCACAAAGCGAUAACAGAUGACGGCGGAUGUCAGUGCUCGGAAGCCACCAGUAGAAGCAGCCGAACAUUCAUAAAGUGCUCACUUAACACCCCCAGGGGGCACCAUCGAGGGGCGUCAUACAGGGCGGCGUUCAAGCUACUACCGCUAGUCAGUGUACUUAACUUAAGAUUUGAUGAUGAAACAUCGAAGAUCUUCUCAAUUAAGUUGCAGUAUUAUCUUAACUGAGGAUAUAUGUACGCCUACAUGUCUUGUGGACGGAUGAAACACAAGUGGCGCUGACCUGAGAACACCGAACCAACUGUGAAGCAUGGAGGUGGCAGGAUCUUGUUGUGGGGCUGUUUUGCUACCUCAGGAACUGGACCGCGUCAUAAAACAGAUGACAUCAUGAAGAAAGAACAUUACAUGGCGGUAUUAAGGCAAGAUCUCGAGAUAUCAGCCAGGGACUUAAAACUUGGUUGCUAAUGGGUCUUUCAAAUGGACAAUGACCCUAAACAUACUGGAAAAAUGGUCCAAACGUGGCUUUGGGAUAACAAAGAAAUCUUGGAUUGGCCAUCACAAAGCCCUGAUCUGAAUCCCGUCAAAAACGUUUGGGAAAGCCAACCGACAAGCCUGACUCAGUUCCAGCAGUUCUGUCAGGAGGCCCGGCCCAGCAUUCCAGCAGAAUAACUGUCAGAACCUGGUUGAAGAUUAGGCAGAACCUUCGACCCAAGUCAUGCAGUUCAAAGGAAAUUCUACUCCAUACUAAGGAAACAAAGCGUCAUGGCGUCCUAAAUAUUUGAUGCAUGGCGGGAGGAGUGAGGUCAGAGGAAAUCGCCAGUGAAGUCCUUAGGCUCAUUAAGCAAACGGUCGAUCCAUGCAACACCUCCCGCUUGGAGCUGCGACAGCUCGGAUCGGCUCGGCCAGCUGGCACAGCAAGAAAAACUUGAAAAGCCCCCCCCACCCCCAAAAUCACCCACUUCUUCACCUUUCCUUUUUUUUUUUUUUUUUUUUUUUAAUCUAACUG
Molecule: long non-coding RNA, 1067 nt
Organism: Syngnathoides biaculeatus (alligator pipefish)
Lineage: Eukaryota; Metazoa; Chordata; Actinopteri; Syngnathiformes; Syngnathidae
Exons: 3
Source: RefSeq, a predicted model, not a curated record